This is a long non-coding RNA of Oreochromis aureus, 1449 nucleotides long. The record is from Ensembl. NCBI's taxonomy places the organism in Eukaryota, Metazoa, Chordata, Actinopteri, Cichliformes, Cichlidae.
UGAGAGCUCCCUGGUGGAUCCUCUGAGCACGCUUGCGUCUCGUGGCCUGGGUCUGUAGCAUCUCAUCUUGUUGCUGAUGCACUGCCUCAAUCUCCUCAUGCAGAGUGGGCAGCUCCUCAACCAUCUUCACCAGUACCUGGACUGCGUGUAUGGGCUACGCUUAUUUACAAAGGUCUUUUCAGGCCUCAGUAGCCGCCUUCGUUUGGUCUCUGUCUCUCAAUGCCAGCCCAGUGUUGUCCUCCCUCUGCCAGGCUCCAGCGUGCUACUGAAAUGGGGAGGAUGGUUAUGACAAGCCAGCAGGGGCGGAUGAAGCUGAAACUCAUCAAACCAGUCUGUAGCUGUUCAUGACCAACUGAAGAGCACGAUUCUGCUAAAUCACACUCACUCACUUGUUUUUAUCAUGGCCAUAUUUAGUGAAUAUUGCUAUAAAUAUAAGAGUUUUUAAGUUGAUGGUUGAGCAAAUAUCAGAAUAUAUCACCAAAGACAAAAAGUGUUUCUGCACCGUUUCUCACAAAACGUGUCUGUGAGCUAAAUAAAGAGUUGCUGUAUUUUCCAGCGAGAGGAAAAACACAUUCCUGUGCAACACUGACAGAUGGAGAAAGAUAGGAUAAUGUCCUAAUUCAUUUUAAAGUUAUUUUAUAUCAAAUAUUUGAUCAAUAUAGAAUCCGUUGCUGAAUUAUAAAUUAUGUUAAACGUCUUACAAAACAAAUUAAGUUUUGAUUUGUGUUGUAUUUGCAACAUCAGGCAUUUAUUUGCUUUUCGUUCUUUAAAAAUAAAUGUUGCAAUUUACUUUUUUUUUCUUUUUACAAAUCAAAUAUGGUACAUUUAGUUUUAAAGGGUUAUAUUUACAAUGAUGCAUUAGGUCUGGUUGGUUACUGGUUUACUGGUUAACCAGAGCUACUGGAGCUCACACCUGACCUACCAAAUCCCACUGCCUCAUAUGUUAAUCAAGAAUAAAUGAAAGAAGAAGAAAUGGUGUGAUUAUGUUUUUUAUGUCUUUUUUUUUUACAAUAUCCUGUCAUCUUUUUAUUUUCUUAUGCAUCCCUACUGAAAGCUGUGAUUUUAAAUAAUUUGUAUCCUACAUAAAUGUAUUUGAGCAAAUUUAUGCAAAAGCAAAAAUCUAAGCAACCUAAUCUUACAAAAGACAAAACUUCUAUAAAUAUUUGCCCACUUAGUGACUUCUUAUUCUUUUUUCAUAUUUGCCACAUUUCCAUGACCUGUUGAUCAAGAAUCAAAAAAAUGGUUUCAGGUUGCUUUGCUGCUUCAGUACCCGGAUGACUUGCUGUAAAUAAUGGAACCAUGAAUUCUGCUCUUUACCAGGAAAUCCUGAAGGAGAAUAUCUGGGCUUCAGUUCAUGCCCUGAAGCUUAAGACAAUGAUCCAAAAUACACCAGCAAGUCAACCUCCAAAAGACUCCAACGUGACUAAAUAAAAACAUUUUGGCAAAGAA